RNAcentral lists this ribosomal RNA (408 nucleotides) under uncultured bacterium. RNAcentral describes it as "bacterial SSU rRNA". It matches the Rfam family "Bacterial small subunit ribosomal RNA", at positions 356 to 773 of the family's 1533-position model. The record is from RNAcentral.
GGGGAAUAUUGCACAAUGGGCGCAAGCCUGAUGCAGCGACGCCACGUGGGGGAUGACGGCCUUCGGGUUGUAAACUCCUUUCAACCAUGACGAAGCUUUCGGGUGACGGUAGUGGUAGAAGAAGCACCGGCUAACUACGUGCCAGCAGCCGCGGUAAUACGGAGGGUGCGAGCGUUGUCCGGAAUUACUGGGCGUAAAGAGCUCGUAGGUGGUUUGUCGCGUCGUCUGUGAAAUUCCGGGGCUUAACGCCGGGCGUGCAGGCGAUACGGGCAUAACUUGAGUGCUGUAGGGGAGACUGGAAUUCCUGGUGUAGCGGUGAAAUGCGCAGAUAUCAGGAGGAACACCGAUGGCGAAGGCAGGUCUCUGGGCAGUAACUGACGCUGAGGAGCGAAAGCAUGGGUAGCGAAC